This 441-nucleotide ribosomal RNA is filed under the name uncultured bacterium. RNAcentral describes it as "partial 16S ribosomal RNA". It matches the Rfam family "Bacterial small subunit ribosomal RNA", at positions 338 to 795 of the family's 1533-position model. The record is from RNAcentral.
CCUACGGGUGGCAGCAGUGGGGAAUAUUGCGCAAUGGGGGCAACCCUGACGCAGCAACGCCGCGUGAUUGAAGAAGGCCUUCGGGUUGUAAAGAUCUUUAAUCGGGGCCGAAUUUUGACGGUACCCGAAGAAUAAGCUCCGGCUAACUACGUGCCAGCAGCCGCGGUAAUACGUAGGGAGCAAGCGUUAUCCGGAUUUACUGGGUGUAAAGGGCGCGUAGGCGGGCAUGAAAGCCAGGAGUGAAAUCUGGGGGCUCAACCCGCGAACUGCAUUUGGAACUGCGUGUCUUGAGUGAUGGAGAGGCAAACGGAAGUCCCGGUGUAGCGGUGAAAUGCGUAGAUAUUGGGAGGAACACCAGUGGCGAAGGCGGCCUGCUGGGCAUUAACUGACGCUGAGGCGCGAAAGCGUGGGGAGCAAACGGGAUUAGAUACCCGUGUAGUC